AGCGAACGCUGGCGGCAGGCCUAACACAUGCAAGUCGAACGGACCCUUCGGGGUUAGUGGCGGACGGGUGAGUAACACGUGGGAACGUGCCUUUAGGUUCGGAAUAGCUCCUGGAAACGGGUGGUAAUGCCGAAUGUGCCCUUCGGGGGAAAGAUUUAUCGCCUUUAGAGCGGCCCGCGUCUGAUUAGCUAGUUGGUGAGGUAAUGGCUCACCAAGGCGACGAUCAGUAGCUGGUCUGAAAGGAUGACCAGCCACAUUGGCACUGGUAACCGGCCCAAACUCCUACGGGGGGCAGCAGUGGGGAAUCUUGCUCAAUGGGCGAAAGCCGGACGCAGCGAUGCCGCGUGGAUGAUGAAGGUCUUAGGAUUGUAAAAUCCUUUCACCGGUGAAGAUAAUGACGGUAGCCGGGGAAGAAGCCCCGGCUAACUUCGUGCCAGCAGCCGCCGUAA
RNAcentral lists this ribosomal RNA (449 nucleotides) under uncultured bacterium. RNAcentral's name for it is "partial 16S ribosomal RNA". It matches the Rfam family "Bacterial small subunit ribosomal RNA", at positions 29 to 523 of the family's 1533-position model. The record is from RNAcentral.